GAUGAACGCUGGCGGCGUGCCUAAUACAUGCAAGUCGAGCGAACGGACGAGAAGCUUGCUUCUCUGAUGUUAGCGGCGGACGGGUGAGUAACACGUGGAUAACCUACCUAUAAGACUGGGAUAACUUCGGGAAACCGGAGCUAAUACCGGAUAAUAUUUUGAACCGCAUGGUUCAAAAGUGAAAGACGGUCUUGCUGUCACUUAUAGAUGGAUCCGCGCUGCAUUAGCUAGUUGGUAAGGUAACGGCUUACCAAGGCAACGAUGCAUAGCCGACCUGAGAGGGUGAUCGGCCACACUGGAACUGAGACACGGUCCAGACUCCUACGGGAGGCAGCAGUAGGGAAUCUUCCGCAAUGGGCGAAAGCCUGACGGAGCAACGCCGCGUGAGUGAUGAAGGUCUUCGGAUCGUAAAACUCUGUUAUUAGGGAAGAACAUAUGUGUAAGUAACUGUGCACAUCUUGACGGUACCUAAUCAGAAAGCCACGGCUAACUACGUGCCAGCAGCCGCGGUAAUACGUAGGUGGCAAGCGUUAUCCGGAAUUAUUGGGCGUAAAGCGCGCGUAGGCGGUUUUUUAAGUCUGAUGUGAAAGCCCACGGCUCAACCGUGGAGGGCCAUUGGAAACUGGAAAACUUGAGUGCAGAAGAGGAAAGUGGAAUUCCAUGUGUAGCGGUGAAAUGCGCAGAGAUAUGGAGGAACACCAGUGGCGAAGGCGACUUUCUGGUCUGUAACUGACGCUGAUGUGCGAAAGCGUGGGGAUCAAACAGGAUUAGAUACCCUGGUAGUCCACGCCGUAAACGAUGAGUGCUAAGUGUUAGGGGGUUUCCGCCCCUUAGUGCUGCAGCUAACGCAUUAAGCACUCCGCCUGGGGAGUACGACCGCAAGGUUGAAACUCAAAGGAAUUGACGGGGACCCGCACAAGCGGUGGAGCAUGUGGUUUAAUUCGAAGCAACGCGAAGAACCUUACCAAAUCUUGACAUCCUUUGACAACUCUAGAGAUAGAGCCUUCCCCUUCGGGGGACAAAGUGACAGGUGGUGCAUGGUUGUCGUCAGCUCGUGUCGUGAGAUGUUGGGUUAAGUCCCGCAACGAGCGCAACCCUUAAGCUUAGUUGCCAUCAUUAAGUUGGGCACUCUAAGUUGACUGCCGGUGACAAACCGGAGGAAGGUGGGGAUGACGUCAAAUCACCAUGCCCCUUAUGAUUUGGGCUACACACGUGCUACAAUGGACAAUACAAAGGGCAGCGAAACCGCGAGGUCAAGCAAAUCCCAUAAAGUUGUUCUCAGUUCGGAUUGCAGUCUGCAACUCGACUACAUGAAGCUGGAAUCGCUAGUAAUCGUAGAUCAGCAUGCUACGGUGAAUACGUUCCCGGGUCU
Molecule: ribosomal RNA, 1372 nt
Filed under: uncultured bacterium
Lineage: Bacteria
Description: bacterial SSU rRNA
Rfam family: Bacterial small subunit ribosomal RNA
Source: RNAcentral